Molecule: ribosomal RNA, 129 nt
Filed under: Octodon degus (degu)
Lineage: Eukaryota; Metazoa; Chordata; Mammalia; Rodentia; Octodontidae
Source: RNAcentral
GUCUAAGGCCCAACCACGCUGAAUGUGCCCGAUCUCAUCUGCUCUCGGAAGCUAAGCAGGGUCGGGCCUGGUUAGUACUUGGAUGGGAGAAAUAUUCCUUUCUGCUAGAGUUUCUUGGUAUUUUAUUGU